ACGAGCAUCUUCUUCUUCUUCUUCAUUU
RNAcentral lists this small RNA (28 nucleotides) under Arabidopsis thaliana (thale cress). RNAcentral's name for it is "ATSL239780". Lineage: Eukaryota; Viridiplantae; Streptophyta; Magnoliopsida; Brassicales; Brassicaceae. The record is from RNAcentral.